This 71-nucleotide transfer RNA is filed under the name Loxodonta africana (African savanna elephant). It matches the Rfam family "tRNA". From Rfam's summary of the family: Transfer RNA (tRNA) molecules are approximately 80 nucleotides in length. Their secondary structure includes four short double-helical elements and three loops (D, anti-codon, and T loops). Lineage: Eukaryota; Metazoa; Chordata; Mammalia; Proboscidea; Elephantidae. The record is from Rfam by way of RNAcentral.
GCAGUGGUGGUUCAGUGGUAGAAUUCUCACUUUCCAAGUGUGAGACCAGGGCUCGAUUUCUGGCCAGUACA